Molecule: ribosomal RNA, 1234 nt
Filed under: uncultured organism
Description: SSU rRNA
Rfam family: Bacterial small subunit ribosomal RNA
Source: RNAcentral
CCAGUCGAGCGGACCGGAUCACGUUUUGCCUUGAUUCGGUCAGCGGCGGACGGGUGAGUAACACGUGGGCAACCUGCCCGCAAGACCGGGAUAACUCCGGGAAACCGGAGCUAAUACCGGAUAACACCGAAGACCGCAUGGUCUUCGGUUGAAAGGCGGCCUUUGGCUGUCACUUGCGGAUGGGCCCGCGGCGCAUUAGCUAGUUGGCGAGGUAACGGCUCACCAAGGCGACGAUGCGUAGCCGGCCUGACAGGGUGACCGGACACACUGGGACUGACACCCGGCCCAGACUCCUACGGGAGGCAGCAGUAGGGAAUCUUCCGCAAUGCACGAAAGUCUGACGGAACGACGCCGCGUGAGCGAAUAAGGUCUUCGGGUCGUAAAGCUCUGUUGUGAGGGACGAAGGAGCGCCGUUUGAACAAGGCAGCGCGGUGACGGUACCUCACGAGAAAGCCCCGGCUAACUACGUGCCAGCAACCGCGGUAAUACGUAGGGGGCGAGCGUUGUCCGGAAUUAUUGGGCGUAAAGCGCGCGCAGGCGGCCCUUUAAGUCUGAUGUGAAAGCCCACGGCUCAACCGUGGAGGGUCAUUGGAAACUGGGGGACUUGAGUGCAGGAAAGGAUAGCGGAAUUCCAACGUGUAACGGUGAAAAUGCUUAGAGAUGUGGAGGAACACCAGUGGCGAAGGCGGCUCUCUGGCCUGUAGAUGACGCUGAGGCGUGAAGGCGUGGGGAGCAAACAGGAUUAGAUACUCUGGUAGUCCUUCUGGUAAACGAUGAGUGUUAAGUGUUAGAGGGGUCACUCCCUUUAGUGUUGCAGCUAACGCGAUAAGCACUCCGCCUGGGGAGUGCGGCCGCAAGGCUGAAACUCAAAGGAAUUGACGGGGGCCCGCACAAGCGGUGGAGCAUGUGGUUUAAUUUGAAGUAACGUGAAGAACCUUGAUAGGUCUUGACAUUUCCUGACAAUCCAAGAGAUUGGGCGUUCCCCUUUCGGGGGGACAGGGUGACAGGUGGUGCAUGGUUGUCGUCAGCUCGUGUCGUGAGAUGUUGGGAUGAGUCGCGCAACGAGCGCUACCCUUGCCUAUAGUUGCCAGCAUUCAGGUGGGCGCUAUAGAGGGACUCUCGGCUAAAAGUCGGAGGAAGGUGGGGAUGACGUCGAAAUCAUCAUGUCCUUUAUGACUUGGGCUACACUCGUGCUACAAUGGGCGGUACAAAGGGGUGAGAACCCGCGAGGGGG